Molecule: long non-coding RNA, 2722 nt
Filed under: Triticum aestivum (bread wheat)
Lineage: Eukaryota; Viridiplantae; Streptophyta; Magnoliopsida; Poales; Poaceae
Description: long non-coding RNA (TAES_LNC028139)
Source: RNAcentral
ACAUAUUCAGGACAGAAAAGGUUAGUUUAUUGUACUCCCUCCGAUCCAUAGUAAGUUUUGCAGCUUUUAACUAAGGCUGAACUAACCUUAGUCCUUAGUUUAGAACUGCGACACUUAUUUUGGAUCGGAGGGAGUAUGAAAUAAUCGUUGGAUAAUGAAAUGGCUUGAUACUUGGAACAUAGUUUGGCAUCUCCCCUAUUCCAAUAUUUUUUCUGGCAUUUUUGAUCAAUUUCGAAACCACCAUAGCUCUUAUCACACAGAUUGUUGAUUUCAUUUUUUGGUGUUCGAAUAAUUCCGGUAUAGAAGAUUGGGAGGUAUGCCAGUGCUCUAGCUGAAAUGUGGAUUCUGUCAAAUAAAAAUAUUUAUCAGGGGGCUUUCAUUAGCUAAUUGCAUAUUUUUGUAAGCUAUGCUAUGAACUUUAUGGCCUUAUCUAAGCUUUGUAUAGGUUGUGUGUGAUGUGAUGAUUUCAUGGGAUAUGAAGCUUUAAAUUGGGCUCGUAUUUGCAGAGCAGAAAUAUAGAGAAUCGACAUCUGAAGGUAAAUAAAUUGCUUAGUUAUGUUGUUGCUUUAUAUAGUUUUGCAGAGAAGGUUUGGGAAGGGGAAAUAGCUGGUCGUUGGGUGUGGCUUUCAUAGUUGUUAUUCGUAUGUUCUGGUCAUUUGCUGUUUCCUGAAACUCUAUUCUGGCUAAGGAUACACUAUUUUGCAAAAUGAUCUUCAGAAAAUUGUAUCGAGGAUACAAUUGAUAAAUGUCUUCUGCUUGAGGCUUCCUUGGACUAUCACACAAUCCCCUUCGAUGUACUGGCCAUCCUUGAAACUAUCACUAACCAACUGCUGGGAAGAGGCCAAUAGAAAGAAAGCACAACAUGAACCUGUAUAGAGCAGCACCUUCUUAAAGAAAGACCUAGGACCCAGAGAAGGACAACAUACUAUAUACUUGGACAGUUUGGAAAUGAAAAGGCUCUCCUUCCUCUUAUUUCAUUGUCCCUGGAAAAGGAGAAUGAGAAUCGAUAUAUACAAUGUAUUGCCAAUUUUUUACUCGAUAUAAUUAGCAGUUUAGCACCAAUACUUCUCAAGAUAUAACUCUGUAUAUAAUAACAAAGUCAAUAUAUACAAAGAGAUGUUUUUCCGUAAAUUGCACAAAGCUUGUCUGACUACAUUUGAAUUAUCCUGUCAAAAUAUUAUUGAACUGCAUGGUAGACACAUGAAAAAUAUGAGAACCUGUUGUUCAUGCGUAAACAAAUAUAUGAUUGAAUGAUUGGUAGCAAGCAUGUUGGGUGGUGUGUAUUAAGCGUACCAUGUUGAACUUGUUUUUGCUAUAUAAUAGGAGGUCACCAAUUUGGAAUUAUCAGCGCAUGUAAGCAUGGAAUAAUUCUGUUAGUAACCAUAUUUAUAGUAUUGAUUUAUCGAUUCGGUUUAAUGUCGGUAGGACUGGAAAAUAUUUGGCUACAAUAGUGUUAAUGCAAGUUAAGUUUAUGCAAACAAUAAAUCAUAUGAAGGAAGCACUCCAUGAUUUGAUGAAGGCAAAGGAAAAAAAUCAUUUGAUCUGCCCAGUGUAACUGAGUAGCAAAAGAGAAGUAAACAUGACAGAAUCAAACAGCUACAUAUGAAUUAGAUUCUUAAGGCAAGAUCAUUUGCUACAACUAAAAUAUUCAUGAGCUAAACUGGUGAUAGUGAUAUGACACAACCAUCAAUGUUUGCAAUAAGAAAAAGGGUAGUACAAACAAUAAUCCCGGGGACAAUCUUCUUGAUGUGGUGGUGCGAUGAAUCGACCAGACGGCUGCUGCAAGGAGGAGGCAGGUGUGCGAGGCCUCCUACUCCUUCCCCCCGCUGACACCGCUCGCCCCGCUCCUUCCCCCUCUGCUGCAUGCCCUACUCGCCAGCCUGAGCGACAGAGAAGAAACAUUUAAAGUUUGCACAUGUUUACAGAAAUUUAUAGUCACAAACAACUUUGGAGAGAUCCAUUUUCAACAGAAAAGUCACCAGCUAGGAAAAUAGCCCAAAAGUGUGUACAUUUAUUGGUAUGCUUGAACAGAACAUCAAACUGAAUUCUAUUGUGUUGCCUAUCUGUAUUGUUACUCGGAUCUUACAUUUCAAUUUUGUAUUUCUGUCGAUGCAAGUGUGUUCUUCCUACUAUAAAACAACAUGGAUUUCUAUAAAUUAAAUUGUAUAUAUUGUGGAAGAAUAUCCUAUGUAUGUCUGUAUUCAUGUUCAUGCCUACUAUAAAAUAAACAUUCUUCAUUGACUAUGCUUUUUCCUUCUGUUAAUGAUGUUAUGCAGCUCUCCAUCUUAAAUUCCUUCUUCAUUCACUUGAAACAUUUCAUAACUAUUUUUCUGUGUAUUUGGUUUUACAGUCUGACCUAUGAUCAAACUGAAGGUGCCUAGCAUGGUCUGGUAUGCAUUUCUUAAUUUCUCUUGAUUUAUGUUUCUGUUUUUGCUUCGUUUCAUAUUAAACCGAUUGUGUUUGUACAUAUUGAAGAGGUUAUUUCUCGUGUGAAGUUACUAUUUUUUUCCACUUCCGAAGCACCUAACUCAGGUUUUGAUAUUUCUCUGUUUGUAGGGUGCAGGUUCCUUUAUGGUCUACUACUUUACAAGAGAAAACAUUUCUGUGGAAGGAGCUGCUGAUAGGGCUAUCUUAACAACAAACUGGACGGAGUUCUUCACAUUGCAAACAUUGAUGAAGGAAUGAUGUAUGCCUUCACCUUCAGGCGCAAGGCAAAGCGCCU